UACGUAGGGCGCAAGCGUUGUCCGGAAUUAUUGGGCGUAAAGAGCUCGUAGGCGGUUUGUCGCGUCGGAUGUGAAAGCCCGGGGCUUAACCCCGGGUCUGCAUUCGAUACGGGCAGACUGGAGUGUGGUAGGGGAGAUCGGAAUUCCUGGUGUAGCGGUGAAAUGCGCAGAUAUCAGGAGGAACACCGAUGGCGAAGGCAGGUCUCUGGGCCACUACUGACGCUGAGAAGCGAAAGCGUGGGGAGCGAACAGG
RNAcentral lists this ribosomal RNA (253 nucleotides) under uncultured bacterium. Its description in RNAcentral is "partial 16S ribosomal RNA". It matches the Rfam family "Bacterial small subunit ribosomal RNA", at positions 524 to 776 of the family's 1533-position model. The record is from RNAcentral.